AAGACUCUCGGCAACGGAUAUCUCGGCUCUUGCAUCGAUGAAGAACGUAGCGAAAUGCGAUACUUGGUGCGAAUUGCAGAAUCCCGUGAACCAUCGAGUCUUUGAACGCAAGUUGCGCCCGAAGCCAUUAGGCCGAGGGCACGCCUGCCUGGGUGUUGCACAU
This 163-nucleotide ribosomal RNA is filed under the name Genista cf. spachiana AK-2011. Its description in RNAcentral is "5.8S ribosomal RNA". It matches the Rfam family "5.8S ribosomal RNA". From Rfam's summary of the family: 5.8S ribosomal RNA (5.8S rRNA) is a component of the large subunit of the eukaryotic ribosome. It is transcribed by RNA polymerase I as part of the 45S precursor that also contains 18S and 28S rRNA. Functionally, it is thought that 5.8S rRNA may be involved in ribosome translocation. The record is from RNAcentral. Lineage: Eukaryota; Viridiplantae; Streptophyta; Magnoliopsida; Fabales; Fabaceae.